Molecule: transfer RNA, 168 nt
Filed under: Zymoseptoria tritici IPO323
Lineage: Eukaryota; Fungi; Ascomycota; Dothideomycetes; Mycosphaerellales; Mycosphaerellaceae
Description: Mycosphaerella graminicola IPO323 tRNA
Rfam family: tRNA
About the family: Transfer RNA (tRNA) molecules are approximately 80 nucleotides in length. Their secondary structure includes four short double-helical elements and three loops (D, anti-codon, and T loops).
Source: Rfam by way of RNAcentral
GGGGAAGUGGUCUAAUGGUAGAAUACCGAGAGUGAACCCCCAUGGCCUCUGUGCUGUGCUCUUAGCGGACUCUGCUCUGCUCUCCCUACGGACUCUGUUCUGUAUUUCCCCAUGGCCACUGUGCUGUGUUUUCACUCGGAGAUGUCGGUUCGAUUCCGACCUUCCCCA